This is a long non-coding RNA of Ailuropoda melanoleuca (giant panda), 445 nucleotides long. RefSeq lists it as uncharacterized. The transcript is spliced from 3 exons. NCBI's taxonomy places the organism in Eukaryota, Metazoa, Chordata, Mammalia, Carnivora, Ursidae. The record is from RefSeq and is a predicted model, not a curated record.
AAUGAGGAUUUUGAUCACUGAUGGAAAUAUGUACUACAGUAUUUAGGUGUCCUGGAGAAAAUCUAAUUUUGUGUGCAUGGAGAAGCUACAUAGACAUGAGACCCCCUCUAUUGUUAAGCCUUUGGACAAGUGAAUCUAGUGUCUUUAUGGGAUCUCCUCAGGCUGUUUCUACAGUUGGGCUCAGGAUAGCACAUCCUAACUAUGGAGAUAAGUCUAACAAACAGCUGCCCAGAUGAAAAACAGUAGCUAAUUCUCACUAAUAGAGGCUAUAGUUCUGGCAAAAUGGCAAUGGAGUUCCAAAAGGAAUUAUCAGCUAGUCAUCCAGCAGGAAUUAUUUGAUUAAAAGAAGGGGGAAAAUAGUCUGCUAGCAGCUAUUUAUAUUAACACAAACGAAGGCACAAAUAGGACUCCAGAGAUGAUGAGUGAAGGCGUGGUGAAUAUCAGG